RNAcentral lists this long non-coding RNA (584 nucleotides) under Pan troglodytes (chimpanzee). RNAcentral describes it as "lincRNA". Lineage: Eukaryota; Metazoa; Chordata; Mammalia; Primates; Hominidae. The record is from RNAcentral.
AAUCGAUUUGACUCUCCAAGAGAUGGCUGGGUUUUUCAAAGCAGAGAAAUGAUGCCCUGCAGUCUUAAAGAGCUGUUGAUUGCACCUGGGGCUCCCGUGGCCGGCGCCCAUCGAGCAGCCCGUCCUGGCUGUUCCCUUGUUCAGCUUAUUUUCUUUUUUAUCUUGACAUUUGCUAACCGCUUGGUUUUUAUUUUCCGGGAAGAGAAGAUUAUUGGCAACUGGCACCACCCCCAUGUCUGCAGGAGGGACGUUUCUAGGAUGACCCCCAGAGUGGAGAAAUAGCCGAGGUUGCAUGGGCUUGAUCCACAAUGACUCAGCUUUCAGCCAUAGCAAUUGUGCUAUGCUCAGCUGUCAAGCGUGUUUUAAAUCUCCUACUACUUUUUUUUUUUUAAGUUUUUCUGCCAUCCUUUGUACUCCUUUUUAAAAACUUAUCCAGGAAGUGGUAUGAAAUCUCCAGUACCUCUCGGCACACACACAUGCGUCUUUUUCUGUUUAUUGUUUUCCCUCUGAGAGUUGUAGUGUUCAGUUGGUUACAUCAAGAGAAGUACUUGGCUGGGACUGUUAAAAAAAAAGUGUCACAAAGC